This 460-nucleotide ribosomal RNA is filed under the name uncultured bacterium. RNAcentral describes it as "partial 16S ribosomal RNA". It matches the Rfam family "Bacterial small subunit ribosomal RNA", at positions 338 to 795 of the family's 1533-position model. The record is from RNAcentral.
CCUACGGGAGGCAGCAGUGAGGAAUAUUGGUCAAUGGCCGGAAGGCUGAACCAGCCAUGCCGCGUGAAGGUCAGUGCCCUAUGGGCGUUAAACUUCUUUUGUGCGGGAGCAAUAAUGGUCACGUGUGGCCAGACGAGAGUACCGUACGAAUAAGCAUCGGCUAACUCCGUGCCAGCAGCCGCGGUAAUACGGGGGAUGCAAGCGUUAUCCGGAUUUAUUGGGUUUAAAGGGUGCGUAGGCUGGGUGGUAAGUCAGCCGGGAAAUGCCCCCGCUCAACGGGGUGAAGUGCCAUUGAUACUGCCUUGCUGGAAUGCGGAUGCCGUGGGAGGAAUGUGUGGUGUAGCGGUGAAAUGCAUAGAUAUCACACAGAACACCGAUUGCGAAGGCAUCUCACGAAUCCGCGAUUGAUGCUGAUGCACGAAAGCGUGGGUAUCAAACAGGAUUAGAUACCCGGGUAGUC